This 468-nucleotide ribosomal RNA is filed under the name uncultured bacterium. Its description in RNAcentral is "partial 16S ribosomal RNA". It matches the Rfam family "Bacterial small subunit ribosomal RNA", at positions 28 to 507 of the family's 1533-position model. The record is from RNAcentral.
GACGAACGCUGGCGGCGUGCUUAACACAUGCAAGUCGAACGGAAAGGCCCUGCUUUUGUGGGGUGCUCGAGUGGUGAACGGGUGAGUAACACGUGAGUAACCUGCCCUUGACUUUGGGAUAACUUCAGGAAACUGGGGCUAAUACCGGAUAGGAGCUCCUGCUGCAUGGGGGGGGUUGGAAAGUUUCGGCGGUUGGGGAUGGACUCGCGGCUUAUCAGCUUGUUGGUGGGGUAGUGGCUUACCAAGGCUUUGACGGGUAGCCGGCCUGAGAGGGUGACCGGCCACAUUGGGACUGAGAUACGGCCCAGACUCCUACGGGAGGCAGCAGUGGGGAAUAUUGCACAAUGGGCGGAAGCCUGAUGCAGCAACGCCGCGUGCGGGAUGACGGCCUUCGGGUUGUAAACCGCUUUCGCCUGUGACGAAGCGUGAGUGACGGUAAUGGGUAAAGAAGCACCGGCUAACUACGUG